UCCAAUCACCAGGUGGGCCCCGGGUGGCGGC
RNAcentral lists this small RNA (31 nucleotides) under Bombyx mori (domestic silkworm). RNAcentral describes it as "ovarian small RNA-26578". Lineage: Eukaryota; Metazoa; Arthropoda; Insecta; Lepidoptera; Bombycidae. The record is from RNAcentral.